UACGUAGGGGGCUAGCGUUGUCCGGAAUCAUUGGGCGUAAAGCGCGUGUAGGCGGUCCGGUAAGUCCGCUGUGAAAGUCGGGGGCUCAACCCUCGGAUGCCGGUGGAUACUGUCGGGCUUGAGUACGGAAGAGGCGAGUGGAAUUCCUGGUGUAGCGGUGAAAUGCGCAGAUAUCAGGAGGAACACCAAUGGCGAAGGCAGCUCACUGGGACGGUAUUGACGCUGAGACGCGAAAGCGUGGGGAGCAAACAGG
This 253-nucleotide ribosomal RNA is filed under the name uncultured bacterium. RNAcentral describes it as "partial 16S ribosomal RNA". It matches the Rfam family "Bacterial small subunit ribosomal RNA", at positions 524 to 776 of the family's 1533-position model. The record is from RNAcentral.